This 120-nucleotide ribosomal RNA is filed under the name Mustela putorius furo (domestic ferret). Lineage: Eukaryota; Metazoa; Chordata; Mammalia; Carnivora; Mustelidae. The record is from RNAcentral.
UCUCCAGAUCCACCACGCUGAACACGCCUGAGCUUGUCUGAUCUCAGAAGCUAAGCAGGGUGGGGCCCUGUUAGUACUUGGAUGGGGGUAUUUUUUGCCGACCAAAAGAAAUCCGAAAAU